This 1266-nucleotide long non-coding RNA is filed under the name Equus asinus (donkey). Its description in RNAcentral is "lncRNA (ENSEASG00005038420.1)". Lineage: Eukaryota; Metazoa; Chordata; Mammalia; Perissodactyla; Equidae. The record is from RNAcentral.
AGGACAUAGGAAUCCAACUUUCCUGUUGCCCUUGGGAAUGCUCUUUAAGUAGCAGCCAUGUGGCAAGGCCUAGGGUUUUAUUAUAAUUAGAGGUUUGGUCAGUCUUCUCCUUGGGAAGACAGAUGGAGUUUGAGAAUAGAGAUCUGGGUCCUAAUCCUGAUCCUGCUGCUUGGAGGCUCUGAGCAAAAUGUCAAUCCUCAUUUCUCCAUCCACAAAUUGCAUAAAGGUGCAGGGCUGCAGUGCAGGUUGGGUCUUAGAGAAGCAGUCACGUGCAAGCACUUUAUGUCGAGUUAAAUAGACCUGGCUUCAAACUGUGAUUUUAAUUUGUUCAAUGUCUUGCAACAUUUAUUUUAAAUUGUGCAUAACAGUAUCUCUGGUAUGUUGUUGUGAGGAUUAAAUGGAGAUAAUGUGUGUAAAUUGCUUUGUCCAGUGCCUUGCAUAUAGAAAGCACCCAAUAAAUAUCAUCUGUACUCCCGAAAACCCAUCACAGCUUAUGCUGACAAGGUUGAAACUACUAUUUAAAAGGCCUUCGACUCGACUGUCAGGUUGUUUUGAGAGCGACCACUCGCUGUAUAUUUUUUAGUGUGGCUGCAAACGUUCACCUUUUUCUUUAAUGUACAUUUACUAUGGGAAAACGGAAGAUAGCAAAGGAAAAAAGUCUAAAAGCCAGCAGCUCCCCCACCCCCUGCUCCCUCGAAUUCCCCAGAACCAAAUCGUGUUAACAAUAGGCUAAGUCCUAUCAAAGGAUCCCGGGUAUUGACUGCUGGCUGGAGGCGUGCCACUGGAUCUAACCCUUUAAGAUAAAAGAGGGGGAUUGGUGGGAGUUGUGAAGAUGUGAGAUCGGGUGGCUAGCAGGGAAUAGCAGGUCGAAGAAGCCGGCCCGGGGGCUUUCAGGUUCUUAUCACUGCAGCCGCUUAUCUCAUCUCCUCUUCAGGCCUUUACAUGCACGCAAAUAUUUCACAAAGCCGGGAUCAUCCCGCAUCCACUGCUCGAAUCCCGUUUUGGCUGAUGUAACUCUUGCGCGGAGACUGGAGAGUAAUCUUGCCCCCAAAUAGGCAACGCCUGCGCUCCCAGGACCUGGCCGGCCGCGCCCCCCUCGCCUGGAGCGCUGACCAGAGCGGUCCGAGAGCUUGCAGCUCGCCUCGAGGCCCAACCACCCCGACGCCGGUCGGCAGCGUCGAGAUACUCGUUGCGCGUUGCGGUUGCCCCUUUUGGCGGGCUCCGGUGCCCCGAAGCUCCGCCCCCCGGUGCGGGCGAUCCGCACUC